UACGUAGGUGGCGAGCGUUAUCCGGAAUGAUUGGGCGUAAAGGGUGCGUAGGCGGAUCGUUAAGUCAGUGGUCAAAUUGAGGGGCUCAACCCCUUCCCGCCAUUGAAACUGGCGUUCUUGAGUGGAAGAGAAGUAUGCGGAAUGCGUGGUGUAGCGGUGAAAUGCAUAGAUAUCACGCAGAACUCCGAUUGCGAAGGCAGCAUGCCGGCUCCACACUGACGCUGAGGCACGAAAGCGUGGGUAUCGAACAGG
RNAcentral lists this ribosomal RNA (252 nucleotides) under uncultured Bacteroidales bacterium. Its description in RNAcentral is "partial 16S ribosomal RNA". It matches the Rfam family "Bacterial small subunit ribosomal RNA", at positions 524 to 776 of the family's 1533-position model. The record is from RNAcentral. Lineage: Bacteria; Pseudomonadati; Bacteroidota; Bacteroidia; Bacteroidales.